Piliocolobus tephrosceles (Ugandan red Colobus) is the source of this 3030-nucleotide long non-coding RNA. The record is from Ensembl. NCBI's taxonomy places the organism in Eukaryota, Metazoa, Chordata, Mammalia, Primates, Cercopithecidae.
AAUUUAUAUUAUUCAAUUAUUUUUUUUGUAUACUAUACAAAUCAAAAUAAAAUUCUGCAAUCAUUACAUUUAUCAAAUGCUAAUAGUGUUAAAAAAAAUAUGCAAAAUAAAACAGAUAAUUUGAAUGCACAAAAAAUUGGACAGAAACAGUACCCCGAACAGAGCAUAGAUGUUAGUUACAUAAAUGAAAAUUAUAAUUUAUCAUUAUAUAAAACAUAUUUUAAUAUACACGAUUUUAAUUUUGUUAUUGAAUUAAAAGAUCUAUAUUUUUAUUUUGAAGGAUUUGAAUGCUCUUUUUCUAAAAUAAAAAGAAGAAUAAUAGAAAUGUAUGGAUCAAUAAAAACUGCUAUAAUACUAUGUCAAGAAAAUUGUAACGAUGAUAAAAAAAAAUUUUCUAACUAUCAUGAUAAUACUAGUAACUCUUCUGAUAAGUUACAUAAUAAAAAUCAGGAUCAAAAUUUAAAUACAUUUGAUUUAUUUUUAAAAGACAGAUAUAAAUAUACUAAAUAUGAUGAAACAUCACUUUCAGAAUAUAAUUCAUUACUUGAUACACAAUCAAUGAAAAUAAGAAAAAAAAAUGUAAAAAAAAUAAAUAAAAAAGUUUUUAUGUGUUUAAUGUAUAAUAUAGGAAUUUAUGUAAAACAUUGUUUAAUUUUAUGGGAUAGUUUUUCUGCUUUCUUAGAAGAUGGUUUAUUAGAUUUUAAAAUUUUUAUUAAUAUUUUAAAUGGUAUAACUAAUACGUCUACUGCGGUAGUAGAAGAAAUAAAAAAAAAAAUAUUAAACGAAACCAGUAGUAACAGUAACAACGAUAACGAAUUAAAACCAAAUAACUUCCCAGUUCGAAACAGAUUAGCAGGAACAAUAUGUCCUAAUACUUUUAAAAAUAUAAAUAAAGAUUUUACAAUGCACGCAUUUACUAUCGAUGAAAUAGAAAUAUUUGUUGAAUUGUUUAAUUAUAUUUAUCCUUUUUAUUAUCUAACUAUAGAUGAAAAAAAACAGUUUAUAAAUAAAUUAAAAAAAAAAUGUUUUAAACAAAAUUACGAUUUUAUGUCAUUACAGGAAACUCAUAUAAAAAACAAAAACAAUGUAUCAUCUUGUAAUAAAAAAUAUAUGAAUGAAACUAUUUAUAUUUUAUUAAAUGGUAUUUUAAAAAAUAGAAAAGAUGCUAAUGAUUUUAUAAAUAGCAUUAAUGUAAUUAAAGAAGAAAAUUUAUACAAUUAUAUUACACAUACUGCAGUAGCUAUUGUAGAAAUAAACGCAAAUCUUUUUACUGAUAGUUUUAUCAAAUUAUUAGAUAAAAAAAAAACAAUAUCUGAAGAAUUUAUUCAAACUAUUAACCAUACACCAAUAUUUAAAAAUUUUCCCUUUGCUUUAAAAAACACUAUAUCAAUUACUAUACAAGAAUGUAAAUUUGAAAAAAAUAAAAUAAUAAUACGACAUCACGAUGACGCUAAUUAUUUUUAUAUUCUAAAAAAAGGGUUACUUAAUGCAUGUUAUGGUAGUAACAAUAAUGACAGUGGCAAUAACAGUGGCAAUAACAAUGGCAAUAAUAGUGGCAAUAAUAGUGGCAAUAAUAGUGGUAAUAAUAACAGUGGCAAUAACAGUGGCAAUAACAGUGGCAAUAACAGUGGCAAUAACAGUGGUGAUAAUAACAGUGGUAAUAAUAAUGGCAACAAAAGUAACGUUAUUAACACUAUACGCCAAUAUGAAUUUUUUGGAGAAUUAGCCAUCAUAUUUAAUACAUUAAGAACAUGUAAUGUAGUAGUAGAAUCAGAUAUUGCCAUAUGUUAUUAUAUGCCAAAAGUCCGCUUUUUAUCUCUUCUAACUAAAGAUAUACUACAAGAAUUCAUACAAUAUAUUUAUACUAACUACCAUAAAAAUGAAACUCAACAUCUUAUAAAAAAUUAUAUUAAUAGUAAGGAUUGCAGCUAUGGAAUUAUUAAUGAACAUAUGAAUGAAUUAAUUAAUAAAAAAGAAGAAAAACAGAACAAAAAACAGAAAGAAAAACAGAAAGAAAAAGAUCGUAACGGUGACAAUAAUGAUAAUAACAAUUAUUACAAUGAUCAAGAUUCCGUUUUUUCUGAAAGUUUUAAUAAUAAAUUAAUCACCAAUGAAAAUAUGUCAAACGAACAGAAUAAUUACGAUAUAUUACAGAAAUAUAGUAAAAGUAAAAGUUCUGGAUUUAAAAAGUUAGAUACCUUUCUUUCCAGCUUAUCUUCGAGUCAUAUUGCAUUAAAUGUUGACUAUAUUAAUGAAAAUAAUAUAAAAUCUUUUUAUAGUGAUUUAGAUAAAAUAUUACUAAAUAUUUAUAAUACCGAACAAAAAUAUUUUGCAAAAGAAAUGGAAAUUAACUUAAUGAAUGUAAAAGUUUUUAAAAAAAUAUUAACUAAUAUGAAAGAUAAAGAAAGCUUUUUAAAAAAACUAAAAUAUUUAAAAUGUCCUAAAGGAAAGCAAUUAAUAUUAGAAGAUGAGUAUUGUGAAUAUUUUUUUUUUAUUAAAGAGGGGGAAAUUGUAAUACAAAAAUUCAAUGAACAUAAAAAUAUUUAUGAUGAAAUUAUUGUUUUAAAAAAAAAUGAAUAUUUUGGACCCCAAUUAAUUUUAAGUAAUAUGAAAUCAAUUUUUAUUGCUGUUGCAAAAGUAGAUUCGGAAUUAUAUACAUUAGAUGCAGAAUCAUUUAAACAAUUUUUAACUCCUUAUAUCGAUUUACUUAAUAGUUCAUACGAUAUAAUACAAUUAAAUAUGAUAUCUGAAGCAGUUAAUGAGGAUAUAAAAAAAUUAAAAAAAGAAGAUGAUUUUAUUUUAAAAGUAAUAAAAAUAUUAAAAAAAGUACACAUUAUUCAAAAAUUAAAUGAAAAGGAACUUUAUAAUUGUGCCAAACAUUUUGAAUUUAAAUUUUUUAAAAAAGGAAGUAUUAUAAUAAAAUAUCAAGAUGUAUCCGAUUAUUUUUAUAUUAUUAAAAAAGGAAUUGUUGUAGUAAUUUUAGAUCAUAAUGAAAUGGAAGAAACAGAUAAAAAUAGUAAUAAAAAUAGU